RNAcentral lists this transfer RNA (71 nucleotides) under Candidatus Pelagibacteraceae bacterium. RNAcentral describes it as "tRNA-Lys". The stretch from base 4 to 60 matches the Rfam family "tRNA", at positions 9 to 63 of the family's 71-position model. Rfam says of the family: Transfer RNA (tRNA) molecules are approximately 80 nucleotides in length. Their secondary structure includes four short double-helical elements and three loops (D, anti-codon, and T loops). Further hydrogen bonds mediate the characteristic L-shaped molecular structure. tRNAs have two regions of fundamental functional importance: the anti-codon, which is responsible for specific mRNA codon recognition, and the 3' end, to which the tRNAs corresponding amino acid is attached (by aminoacyl-tRNA synthetases). tRNAs cope with the degeneracy of the genetic code in two manners: having more than one tRNA (with a specific anti-codon) for a particular amino acid; and 'wobble' base-pairing, i.e. permitting non-standard base-pairing at the 3rd anti-codon position. The record is from RNAcentral. Lineage: Bacteria; Pseudomonadati; Pseudomonadota; Alphaproteobacteria; Candidatus Pelagibacterales; Candidatus Pelagibacteraceae.
GGGAGUCUAGUUGGUCGGACAGUUCCCUUUUAAGGAAGGUGUCAUUGGUUCGAAUCCAAUACGGCUCACCA